This 301-nucleotide ribosomal RNA is filed under the name uncultured bacterium. RNAcentral's name for it is "partial 16S ribosomal RNA". It matches the Rfam family "Bacterial small subunit ribosomal RNA", at positions 509 to 807 of the family's 1533-position model. The record is from RNAcentral.
CAGUAGCCGCGGGAAUACGUAGGCAGCAAGCGUUGUUCGGAGUUACUGGGCGUAAAGGGUGCGUAGGCGGCUCUAUAAGUAUGGUGUGAAAUCUCCCGGCUCAACUGGGAGGGUGCGCCGUAGACUGCGGGGCUAGAGUGUGGGAGAGGAAAGUGGAAUUCCUGGUGUAGCGGUGAAAUGCGUAGAUAUCAGGAGGAACACCGGUGGUGUAAACGGCUUUCUGGACCAUAACUGACGCUGAGGCACGAAAGCGUGGGUAGCAAACAGGAUUAGAUACCCCGGUAGUCCCUGUCUCUUAUAC